AGUAGAAAUGUAAACAAACUAUCUGUGGCCACAAAUCAUGUCUGCUUUUGGAUACUCCGUUAUUGCAAUAGAUCCGCUCAUACAGUGAUUGCUAACUAUGUCGAAUCACCUUUUCUGAUAUUGUAUGUUACCUUCUAUAAGACAAUUACGAUCUUUAUGUCCGAUAAGGGUGCUUUAGACCCGUUUUAGAGGAGCGGGAAUACCUUGAAGAAAAGGAUCCCAGUAAUCUUGAGCUGGUUGUUGCCUUGUCGCUAGUGUUGGAGCUACAAAUGUUUGUCACUCCUGUACUUGUGCUACAGUAAUGGGCCCUGAUCCAUCCUGGAGUGUUGUAACUGGUUGAGGAACCUGGAUGGAGGAGUUUAACUGCAUCGUGGAAAAUGUAGUUCAUAAACACCUUGCGGACCACCACCCUAAAUUGGGACCUAUCACCGGGAAACAUCCAGUGGUGUGCAGAUAUUUCACCUGAGGAAAACUCUGUAUUUGACCAGGAAAUGCAACUGAUGAGCCAGACGGACACUUCUGCAUAUCCUGUUACUAGUUGGCUGAUGAGGUUUCCCUCAUUUUGCAGCCGGGAUCUUCCAUUGCUGGGGCCGGGAGGGUUUAAUUUUGAGGCCAAGUCGAAUGAUGACUCUGGGUUUGUCUAUUGAGGAAAUUGUUUUAGCUGUGGGGCGUGGAUGGACAAGACGGGAGAGAGUGACACAGCUCAUAACAAAGGAAUCCCAGCUACACCCAGGUCGUAAUACCUCUUUGGCCUAUGAAGGGUGGAACAGGAGGAUCCAGCAGAACUUUGAGAUGAAUCAACGUCUGUUGCCCGGUGCGAUGUGUCUCACAACCUUCAGGACCCCAAUGAGAAACAUCCAGACCUGGUGCACAAGAGAGGCAUCUACAAGGACAGACAUGGGGCCGCCCAUUCCUGAUUGUCUUGGAAGGGUCUACAUGAGCUGACGAAUGAGAAUGGCCAGUACUGUCCCUUCAGCUGUGAGACCCAGGCCUGGUCCAUCACCACCAUACUGGAGGUCCUGCAAGAUCUGUAGGUUGAGAAUAUAUUCUCCCCCUUUUCUUUUGUUCUUUUCUCUUGUCCAAUCAAAUCGUAUUGGUCACAUACACAGGUUUAGCAUAUGGGGGCUGCAGGUAGCCUAGUGGUUAGAGCGUUGGGCCAGUAACCGAAUGGUCGAACUGACAAUGUAAAAAUCUGUCGUUCUGUCCCUGAACAAGCUAGUUAACCCACUGUUCCUCAUAGUAAAUAAGAAUUUGUUUUAACUGACUUUCCUAGUUAAAUAAAGGUUACAUUUAAAUAUAUAUAUAUGUAAUUAAGGAAUAUAUAAACAAUAGGAUGAGCAAUGUCGGAGUGGCAUAGACCCAUUACAGUUUCAGCCUCCUAGUCUAUCAGUUUUCAAAAAUAUUUCAACUUUGACAGUAUUUUCAGUGAAGCCAUUUUAAACAGUAUCUCAUACUCCUUAGCUGGAACCCUGUGUCUACCUCUAAAAACGGCCUUUAACAACAUAAGAAACCUCCCUCAACCUCUUUGUUACAUCUGGAUAUUAUGCCAAUGUGUGUUUUCAUAAAUGUGGCUUGCAUGGUCAAUGUAGGCCUUGUCAAUACAUCUUGAAUUGCUUUGAAAUCUUGUAGACUUAAAUCUUUUAGUACUUUUUUCUUAAUUGUGCACUCUCAUCCCUGCAAGGGUGAAUUACCUGACUUCCAGUUCUAAAUGCUGUCUCAUACAAUAGCCCAUAUAUUUUUGCCCUUGUGACUCAUGAUGAGGCAUCAGAAAUGUCAAAAAUAGUGUGAAAAUCUUGUCUGUAAAUCCACAUGCUACAUCACCGACCA
Long non-coding RNA from Oncorhynchus kisutch (coho salmon), 1827 nucleotides. The record is from Ensembl. Lineage: Eukaryota; Metazoa; Chordata; Actinopteri; Salmoniformes; Salmonidae.